CCUAUUCAUUUAUUUAUCUACUUAUUUUAUUAACAUUUAGUUAGUUAUUUGUUUUAUUUAUUUAUUUUAUAGAAUAUUGCAUGAGAUUGAUGUCAUUAAUUGCGUAAACUGAUGUAUUAAUUUGUCUGUGUGUAGCUAUGAUAGAUAUAUUGUUUUUGAUUGCAUAUAUUUUUUUAUUAGUUUUAAUUCUCAAUUUCAUGACCUCUACUGCUUUUAAUUCUUAUUUUAUUUUGGCAUGAGAUUUGAAUGCACACAUUGGAGAAGAUCUUUGACGUACACGGCUGCGUAUAGAAAGUGGGCACAUCACGGCUGAGGCACAUCCAGGAGUAUAUGGAAAGAAGAUUAAAGAGAAUCUAAUUACUUACCAAAUGAGAGAGGGGCUGCAUCCUUGGAAAAUCUCCAAGUAAGCUGCACAUAUGUAGACUUCCCAUAUCCACGCGUAUAACAAAAAAAGGAAGUAAAAUAUUCUACAAGAGUGGGCUGCCAUAUAAAAAAAAGUGGGGAGAAAAAAAGGAUAGGAGGAUUUCGGAAGGAAGGAGGAAGAAGGAGUGACCGGGCAAAAGAGGAUUUUUAUCUGGGGAAUUGUCUUUAGAGGUGAGAGGAAAGCCGGAAGCCCAGCGAUUGCAGGCAAGGCUGCCCAAAAUUUAAAAUCCAUUGGGUUUGGAGGAGAGGCACAGAGGAGAGGGGACUUUCAGCACGCAUUGAGAACGGAGUGGAAUCAGAAAAGAGAAGCAAUCUUUGCUUCUUCAGAAAAGUUCUAAGGGAAUGGAUACUUCAACACGUUCUACGGUGGAUUACAAGUUUGGUUCCCCUUUAGGGAAUGCAUGUCCAAGACAGGGGAGAGCAAAAUUUUGUGUUUAUGACAUCCCAGGAGCAGUCGGGAUGGCUAAGACCUUGUUGAUGGAUCUCAGUUGCUGUUCUAAAUAAUCCGAAUUCAAGCCUGUGGAAUUUAAGCAGUGUUAUUGAGAGUUUGAGACUAUGGAACAACUACAGCUGAUCCAGCUUAUUUUGCAUCAUUUUGCUCUAACGUCAACUUGAAUCCAAGGCUUCCUCCACCUCUUAUUUAACGGGAGAAUCAAUGCCUGUUCCCUAUCCACUGACAAAGAGGAGUCUGACGACGAUAGGCCAUCCCGAAAAAUCUCAGAUGAUUGACCAGAAAGCAGCAGUGCAGUUAUGCCCAGACAGAGGACAGUUUCUUCAGCAGAUCGUCAUAAAAGUUUAGUUGAUCUGAUACAAAAGGACUUCCCCCGCACCUCAUCACUUGCAUAUAAUCAGUUUCCUUCCUCAAGCUAUGCAGCAAUGGAGGAACUAUUUAAUCGCAUUACCUCUACCUAAAGAUCCCUCAAGGAAUGAGCCAUCCUUAUAAUGACAUGGAAAAGCUUCCCCAUGCACUCCCCAAGUUCUCUUCAGUUAAGGUACAAUCUAUGAUGCAGUCUCCUAGGUUCACCCCUCCUUUGUAUGCAACAGCAGCAACGUAUAUUGCUUCAAGAAGUCCAUUUUAUCCUAAUUUGCAGUCAGUGAUGGAUCCUCAUUCGCAACUGUUAAUCUAAUAUCAGAGGGGAAGCCUAUUAUCCUUAGUCAUGCAGGAAUUGAAGAUUGCAUUGGCCUUCCCCCAAAGCUGCAAUUCCCCCUUUUAUCACAGAACUUGAAUUUGGAUGGAAUUCCAAAAUUUGACUUUUUCUCUGUUUAUGCCUUUUAAAGGUCAUUCAGCACAUUGUUAUAUUUAAGCCCCUUUGAGUUGGAAGAUUUUGUGGAAGCAUUAAGAUGCAAUUUUUUUCUAACCCUUUGUUUGAUUAUGUCCAUAUUUCUUUAUUACAAACUUUGAGAAAGCAUUUGGAAUUUCUAUCAGAUGAAGGUUCCUAAUCUGAUUUUAAUUGUUCAAGGUGUCUUAAUUGAGGUUUGUUGGAUUCAGUUCGUGGUUAGUUUUCAUGGCUGAUUCCCUACUGAUUCAUGGUUCAGGUUUGAAACCUGGUUUUGAUUUUAGUUGAUUGAAGCUAUUUGACAAUAACCACUGCAAACGACCUGUGGCCGUAAAGUUUGAGAUAUUUCGAUGUCUGUGUGAUGAUGUGAUUGCAGUGGAAGCGCUAAGAUCAGAGCUCAAUAGAAGAUCAUUGGCAGCUGAGCCUGAUAAGGAAUUCAAUCAGAAUGUUUACAUUGAGAUUUGCAAGAAAAGGAAGGCCUGAUGUUAAAACGGAAUGGAUAUCGGAAGACCUGUCACUAAGACAUUUGGCUUUAUCAUUUGUUGGUGAAUCUAUCAUAUAUCCAGAAAUAAACUUACUCAUAGAUGAACUAUGUUAUAAGGCAGACUCGUACCCUUUCUAUGACAAGUGCACAAUUUCCUAAGAAGAUUAGAGAACUACAAUCUGUUACUCAGUCUUACGUCAGUAUAGAUGCUACAACAAAGGACAAAGCUGCCGCCUUGGCUGCUGCUCGCGGUCUUGGACGCAAUGCAAAGAUUGAGUCUGUAAGGCUGCCAAUGUUGACAGUUCUUAAGCUUCAUAGUUGUGAGGGCAUAACUUCAGCUUCCAUGGCUGCAAUAUCGCAUGGUUAUAUGUUGAAGGUAACAACAAGUAGCGUUGAGAUUGGAUCAGGGGAAACUGCAUGGGAGGCGGAUGUUUCUGUCAGCUGUUGCACAGAAAUUGAUAAGACAACUGAAAAUUCAGUGGCGCCUGGGAUCCAUAAAUGUCGAAACUAUCCUAUCCAACCAAACCAAGUAUUCUGAUCUUCUAGCACGCUCCUGCCAUGAAGCUCACUGUCAAGACCUUGAAGGGAAGCACAGCAACAGCGAAAGCAACAUCUUCUACAACCGAGAAUACACAUGGUUUCAUGGCUCCUCCCAAGCCUCACAAAAUUCUAAUGGUGGCUAAGAAGCCCAACAGUGCUCUUUCUAUUGCCUCGGCUCUCUCUAGUGGUCAUAUGUCUACUAGGUGUAGUAGUACAGAAGUCCAUGAAUUUAAUGGAACCUUUCGUGGAUCUAAUGCACAAUAUAAGGUAACAACAGACAAGAAAGCUCCAAAGUUGUUGAAUUAAACAAAGAGCAGUCCAUGUUUAUCAGACUUUGAUGGUCAGAAUUGCUCCUCUGCUUCAAACUGCAUAAUCAUAGAAAACUCAGAUAUAGGCUCGGGGAGUUGUGGACCUGCAAUUGAAAAGAGUACAGGGGACCUAGUUAUGGGAAGAAAAUAUUCAUGUACAUCUAUGACAAUGUCUCUCAGAGAUACAGAUAUGUCUUCACACAAUGUCAAUCGUAUAGAGUCCAGCAUUUAUCUAAAUCCUGAUGUUGUAUAUGAAACUAGUGAGGAUUAUGCAGCUAUGCAGCCCAAUAUCAGUGUAGAUGGCUCCCUUCUUUUCGAUUUUUCAAGUCAAUAUGUGCCUGACUGUUUUGAUCUUCAAUUUAUGCCGAGCAGUGAAGAAAUACUGACCAACAUGAAGGAUGAAAAUGAGAAGCUUUCGAACAGAGAAUACAUGCUUAAGCAGUAAGAUGAAUUUAUCUCAAGAUGCAAUAACAAUGAUGCUGUCAAGGCAAUGGAAAUUCAUCGAAAAACAGAGAAUGCCUCAGUUUUCGAGUCUGAGAAGCUUGGUGUUGCUAUUUCUUGGGAGACAUUUCAGUGAUAAAGUAGAGCAUGCACCGAUUAAGAAAAGGAGCUUUAUAUUUCAGUCUUCAUUACCACCCCCAUGAACUCCUUCUCCUCCCUAUGAGGAUUCAGAACAGCUUGUAGAUAGUCAACAUUCUUCCGAGACGACAAAUGAAGAGAUUGGCGAUGGUAAAGACUUCUCUGGUAUUGAGAUGUUCGCAGCAGCUGCUUGCAAUAACAGCAUAGGUGAUGAUGUGACGGAAUCAACUACAGAGGAUGGUCCAGUUAUGACAUAUAAAGGAAACAACUCAUCUAUUUCUGCAAUGCCUAUAAAAGAAACUAUGCUGUUGUCUGUGUUGCUAUUACGGUUGAUAACCAGGAUGGUACUAAAGGGGAUAUUUGUAUUGAUAAAAGCAAAACUGCUGGUCUGAUUAAUAAUGAGGAGAAACAAGAAACAGAAACCAAACCAGAAGUUGAUCCUAAAGCCACGAGGAAUGAGCCUAUUACAAAGAUAGUUGCUGAUGGAGUACAAUCUGUGUAUAAUGGGAAAGAAGCUAUUGGCAAUGAAGAUCAGGUAGUGGAAAAUGGUGUUGAAUCUACCAUAAGGAAUCCAACACUUGAGUCGGAAUAGUCAGAAAACAAUCUUACACAUGUUAAUGCGCAGGGCGCUGAAUCGGGAAAUGUGGUCUCCUUUAUCAGUUCCUCUGCUUCCAUAAUAAGGAAAAAUAGUACUAAAAAUUCAGAAAAGAACCCUCCAUUUGAAGGACAUGCAAGGCCGAAGUGUUGAAUUAAUUCUAUGGAGAAAUUUCUAUAAUGCGGAAGGACAAAGGCUGCAAAAUAUGUGGGUAUUUCCUGUUCUGGUUGUGAAAUCUGCUAGAAUCAAUGCUUUCAAUGGGAAAGCAGUGGGGACUAUUUCUACCAGCUAGCUAUUCGAAGAUCCAAAAUAUGUUAGGCUUCUUGCAGCUCUCACUCUUGGUCACCUCCCUCAAUAUGAAGGAUUCGCUAGAGCUAGUGGUUUUGUAUCAGCAUGUCGUGCACUGAUAAGCCUGCUUGAAGACCAACCAACAAAAGAAACGAAAUCCAUUACCUAUCAGAAAGACCUGUCUCAAAUCCGUCCAACAGAAGCUGAAUCGGUUGAAACUCGAAUCAUCAUACUUUUCUCCUCUGUUGUGGCUCUCAAGAGGUCUUUAUUUGACACUGGAAGCAAUCCCACUUCUGAAUUUGUAGUUAAGCCCUUUGCUGAGAGAGAAGUGAUUUCUUUUUGUUUGAUUGCACACCUUGAAAGUCAGUGUUUCAGCUGGAGCUAUUAACUCCUGAGCUGCCGAGUGUGAAGGAUGAAACCCACAGAUUUACAAAAAAACUGGGGGCACUUAUUUAACAGCUUGUGAGAGGAGUAAGCGAUCAUAAGAAUCUGAACUCCUCUUGGAGAUGUUUCUCAGGACCAGAAGCUACCCCACUUCCAGCUAUAUUUAUUGGUGAAAAUCUUGAGUCACCCAAUUGCCUACGGAUAGGCAUCCUUGCUUACAGGUAAUCCUGAACAUGGUGUGCAGCUGAAUUAAUAAUCCGUCAUCUGACAAGUCUUGGAGAUGUUCCCUGCUGCUGUUGUGUUCAGAAAGGUCAGAGUGCACAAAGAAGCUUGCUGAAAGUAUCUCAAACAUGCUACAACAAAACAAUCUGUAUACGAAUUUUGAUCAGCCUCGAAAAAUGCCAGAAGAGGGCAGAAUGCGUUUUUGGGAUUCAAUGCCAGUGUCACAGCCUCAAUCACACCUCCAGACUCCACCCACAUAAUUGCCACCUUGCCACAUAUCAUACUCCUAAUGUUUUUUUUCCUUUAUUUUGUGAUUAUAUACAUCUUAAAUAUGAAUUUCAAAAUAUUUUUCCAUCAAAAUAACUUUGGUUUUCUUCAAAAUUCCUUAGGAGCUUCUAGAUAUAAAAUCCAAAUUUUAACAUGCUAUUUGUUGCCACUUUCCUUCGGGCAUGCACUAUCUUCUUUGAUUUUUAACUAUUUUCGUGAUUUCCUUGAUUUUCAACAAAGCAUGAAUAAACUUCAUGAUUCCAAAUAAUGGAAUUCGUAGAAUCAAUUCAUGCAAAAUUAAUUAGGGCUUUGGUGGGGGCCCGACAUUCAUGAUAUUCACUUCAAUAUUGUUUGCUUGAUAUCUGAUUGAUUUUUUUUUAUUCUUCUCGAUGAAAUACUUGAAUUCGCUUUAUAUUUAUUGUUGAGAUAUCCUUGUUUCCCAUAGACGUGUGGAUGCUCGCUAAUCAGGUACGCUCUUACCACCCUACAACUCUAAAAUUCUAUGAAUGUGUACGUUAUCAUGAGCCAUGACUAUGUUUGACGCCAUAAUUGAUUGCCUUGAUGCUUGUUUGAUCAUCUUUGAUAAAAUACAUAUUAUGUGUCAUAUUUUCAAGCUAACCUCUCAUGUUUUAUGAUAGCGCUUGAGAAGCCGUUCAGGUACGCACUUCGACUCUCUCUUAUGGUUGGUUUUCCUGUUAGGCAUGCAAUAUUCAAAAUCACCUAGCCUAUUUAGAUACCUAUAACGUACCGAUUAAUUGCCACACUUCCCUUAACUUAGUCAGUAGAGACCUUCAUAGGGCUUAGAGGGGUGCUACCUUUUAAAGGUACCUUCCCAAUAGGUAACCUGAUCCCCGGACCUAGACUCGGGUUUCUCAAAGACAUGCUUUUUCCAAAACUAUGGAGUCACUUUUUAGGGUUUUUCUUUCUUGUUUUAUUUUCCCUUUAAAAUAAAAAUAAAAUAGGUGGCGACUCCAACUUUUUUAAAAUUAAUUUUUCACAAAUAAAAAAGCGAGUCUCGUCGAUUGAGUGGGGACGCACGUGAAAAAUGCGGGUCCACAAUAUCCUUCCAAAAUUUCAUGCGAAAUGGACUUCAUUUGGUAGGUCCACCAGCAUCCUAAAGCUGGCGACCCAUUUUUCCCACUCUUUGCCGACGACUCCCCUACAUCUCUCACUCGAUUUCCUUUCUUCAUUUUCUUUUCUUCUUCUUCUUUUAAACUCUCACGCCAAUUUCACUAUAUAUAUAUAUGUAUAUGUAUUAUUAAAACAAAUCCUAAAAUGCCACGCACAUCCAUUUCUCAAUAAAUUAAAACCAUUAUUCUUAAAUUCACCUUCCGUAAUUAUGAAUUAUACCAAACUUAUGAUUUUCCAUUUCACGAAAAAUACCACCGUAUUCGUAAUUUAAUUUACUACAAGUCUACUCUUCAAAAAGUAUAAUUUGAUUAUAAUUACAUGAAACAUUGUUUUUUUUACUUUAAAAUUCAUUUAAAACAUGAUAUAAUUAACUAUUAACAAAAUUCAAUUCCAUAAAAUAUUAAAAACAUAAAAUAAUUUUUUGGCAAUCAAGAAGUUGAAAUUUGUAAUAAUAACCCUUAACCCGCUAAUUUUACCUAUAUUUAUUUACCAAAAAAAUUUAAAUAAUAUUCUAAAAUUUAAUUCCAUAAAUUAAUUAGUCAUUCAAUUAAUAAAAAUCAAAUUCUCUACCCUUUGGUAUAACUUUUAUUUAAUUUACUUCAUUUUUCAAAUUAUUCAAUCGCAUCAAAAUUUCAAAAGUUAAAUUCACUAAAUUCACAUUUAAUUAAUUUAUCCUUUUGUAUUUUUUUUUUCUAAAUUCGCAUAUCAUAAUUUAAUCUUAAUUUAAUUUUGAUUCAAUUUUGUUUGAUGUUUUCUAAUUUUAUGAGGUUUAAUUUCAAUUAUAAAAAUUAAAUUCAAUUUCUUUUUAAUUAUCCAUUAUCACAAUUUGAUAUAAUAUAAUUUUUUAUCAAGUUUUUCUUACUAUGAUUUUUCUUAUAAUUAUCCAAUAAUAAUUAAAUUAAUUCUCGUAACAUAUUUAAUAUUCAAAUUUUAAAAACUUAAUCUCAAUUAUUUGAUGGUUAAUUUUUUUCUCAAAAUCUAAAUUUAAUUUAUGAAAUUCUCACUCCUUACAUCUGACGUGGCAAAAUUUUCAAACUAUUGACUUUUGACCAACUUUUCCUAAAUUUAUCCUAAUUAAAUACUAACACAUGGAUUUUCACCACUCUUUUUGACCUUUUGACCCACAAAUUUAUGAAAGACUUUAUGCUUGGAGAAUCUACAAAAACCUGGGUAUUACAAUUUCUCAAGUUGAUAAGUGUCGUGGUUAUGAAGCCACCACUUGAAUACUCAGUCGCCAUUGUAAUGGGCCUGGAUGCAAAUAGUACAUCAUGUUUCUUCAAAAGUUCUCUGCUAAUCUCUGGGAAAGUUGCAGGGACGAGAUGAAAUAUUUCCCAAUUGAAUACAUGCAAUUUCAGUGUUCAUUUCUUUCAUAAAGCCAAUGUAUCCACCAGAAAGUUGUCUUGUUGUUGAGUAAAUGAGGUAGAUAUUGCACUAGUGGCCAUGGAGCUAAUCCUGGAGGAAGUUGUAUCGGCUUGCAUUUGGUACUUGUUUUGGAUUUUAAUUUAGUGAAGAUAAGAAAGAUUGAUG
This is a long non-coding RNA of Vitis vinifera (wine grape), 8025 nucleotides long. RefSeq lists it as uncharacterized. The transcript has 2 exons. Lineage: Eukaryota; Viridiplantae; Streptophyta; Magnoliopsida; Vitales; Vitaceae. The record is from RefSeq and is a predicted model, not a curated record.